This is a long non-coding RNA of Erinaceus europaeus (western European hedgehog), 1187 nucleotides long. RefSeq lists it as uncharacterized. The transcript is spliced from 2 exons. The record is from RefSeq and is a predicted model, not a curated record. NCBI's taxonomy places the organism in Eukaryota, Metazoa, Chordata, Mammalia, Eulipotyphla, Erinaceidae.
CCAGGCAGUGGAGAGGGAGCCAUUUCUCUCCAUUGACUGCAGCUUCCGUGCUCCUGGCUUCCAUCCCCCCGAUUCUAGAGGCCUCAUCUGCCAAGGACUCCGCGAUGGUGGACAUUUUCAUCCUGAUGUUCUUUGCCAUCAUUGGCUUGGUCGUUCUAUCCUACAUUAUCUAUCUGCUGUAGGUCUGCAGCUACGGUGGCGAGAAGCCGCCGGGGAGCAGCUCUGGGGGGGAUGAUGAAGCUAACUGGCCGAGCAUUCUGCUUGCUGACGCACCGGUGGAUUUGUGCUUCUGCUCCAGGUCUCCAGUCCAACAAGAGGAGCCAUCAACAGUAGCAGUUCUGCUGCCCAGCAAGACCUGCUCUGGAGCCUUGAGGACGUCAUCAACACCCACCACACAGGGGACUUUGUGAGCUGAGGCAGAAGCACUCUGUUGAGACUUCAUGAGCUUGGCUAUCAGAUACUGUGUGUGUGUGUUUCAGCUGUAGACAAGAGUGUUGAGAACACAUAUGCUGAAAUGUAGACUCAUUAAAGUUACUAUGGAGAACUGCUCAAAAAUUCAUGUUGAUAGCCUUUCCUUAGAUUUCAGCGCAACUGCAUACUAUGUUUAAUGUUUUUCUUUUCCCUCUCACAUGCAGGGUUUCCUUAUAAGUUCCAGAACACACUUAUCUUCAUCUAUGCAGUAGUCACUUUAUCACUGUCUUUGUGGAUUGUACAAUCUGGGAUUGUGUGGUUUCCCUUGUCUUGUUCUCUAGCCAGGAGAAACAUAUCAUUUGAUUUCUUUUUAAGAUUUAUCAUUUCUACACAAGUAGAACCUGAACUGGAAUUGGUGUAUUGCACCAAAGUAAAAGAUUCUGGGGUGGGUCAGGGGGAGAGUACAAGUCCAAGGAUGACAGAGGACCUAGUGGGGGUUGCAUUCCUAUGUGGAAAGCUGAGAAAUGUUAUGCAUGUACAAACUAUUAUAGUUACUGUCGAAUGUAAAACAUUAAUCCCCCAAUAAAGAAAAAAAAGAAAGAAAGAGGACUGCAGCUAGGAAGGUGGCUCUGUUGUGCAGCACAAGACUUGAGUCCAGUCCUCACUGCAAUCCCUGUCAUAUCAGCCAGACUGAUGCUCUAGUUCUCUCAUUGUCUGUCUCUAUCCCACUUUGUUUCUCUUGUUACAGUUAAUAAAUGAGCUUUUAGAAUAAAACA